UUCGGGAAACCGGAGCUAAUACCGGAUAAUAUUUUGAACCGCAUGGUUCAAAAGUGAAAGACGGUCUUGCUGUCACUUAUAGAUGAUCCGCGCUGCAUUAGCUAGUUGGUAAGGUAACGGCUUACCAAGGCAACGAUGCAUAGCCGACCUGAGAGGGUGAUCGGCCACACUGGAACUGAGACACGGUCCAG
RNAcentral lists this ribosomal RNA (191 nucleotides) under uncultured Staphylococcus sp. RNAcentral's name for it is "partial 16S ribosomal RNA". It matches the Rfam family "Bacterial small subunit ribosomal RNA", at positions 148 to 334 of the family's 1533-position model. Lineage: Bacteria; Bacillati; Bacillota; Bacilli; Caryophanales; Staphylococcaceae. The record is from RNAcentral.